Molecule: non-coding RNA, 114 nt
Organism: Pelobates cultripes (western spadefoot toad)
Lineage: Eukaryota; Metazoa; Chordata; Amphibia; Anura; Pelobatidae
Source: the annotation of a GenBank genome assembly
GUAGGCUAUGGGGACAUGAGGCCAGUAACCGUUGGAGGUAAAAUCGUAGGGUCUUUGUGUGCCAUAGCUGGAGUGCUGACUAUUGCAUUGCCAGUACCUGUCAUUGUGUCCAAC